RNAcentral lists this ribosomal RNA (202 nucleotides) under uncultured bacterium. RNAcentral describes it as "partial 16S ribosomal RNA". It matches the Rfam family "Bacterial small subunit ribosomal RNA", at positions 1300 to 1500 of the family's 1533-position model. The record is from RNAcentral.
GCAGGCUGAAAUUCGCCUGCAUGAAGCCGGAAUUGCUAGUAAUGGCAGGUCAGCAUACUGCCGUGAAUACGUUCCCGGGCCUUGUACACACCGCCCGUCACACCAUGAGAGUUGGGGAUACCCAAAGCCCGUGAGCCAACAUUAAAUGAGGCAGCGGUCUAAGGUAGAAUCAAUGAUUGGGGUGAAGUCGUAACAAGGUAAC